UUUCCGUAGGUGAACCUGCGGAAGGAUCAUUACUGAGUGAGGGCCCCUCGGGGUCCAACCUCCCACCCGUGUUUAACGAACCUUGUUGCUUCGGCGGGCCCGCCUCACGGCCGCCGGGGGGCAUCUGCCCCCGGGCCCGCGCCCGCCGAAGCCACCUGUGAACGCUGUCUGAAGUAUGCAGUCUGAGACAAUUAAUAAAUUAAUUAAAACUUUCAACAACGGAUCUCUUGGUUCCG
RNAcentral lists this unclassified non-coding RNA (236 nucleotides) under plant metagenome. RNAcentral's name for it is "partial contains small subunit ribosomal RNA, internal transcribed spacer 1, and 5.8S ribosomal RNA". The record is from RNAcentral.